AGAGUUUGAUCCUGGCUCAGGACGAACGCUGGCGGCGCGCUUAACACAUGCAAGUCGAGCGAGAACCAGGCCUUCGGGCCUGGGGAAAGCGGCGAACGGGUGAGUAACACGUGGGUAACCCACCCUUGGUACCGGGAUAGCCCGAGGAAACUCGGAUUAAUACCGGAUGGCCCAACAGCUUCUCGGAGCGGUUGGAAAAGGUAGCUUCGGCCUCCGACCAAGGACGGGCCCGCGGCGGAUUAGCUUGUUGGUGAGGUAACGGCUCACCAAGGCUUCGAUCCGUAGCUGGUCUGAGAGGACGAUCAGCCACACUGGGACUGAGACACGGCCCAGACUCCUACGGGAGGCAGCAGUGGGGAAUCUUGCGCAAUGGGCGAAAGCCUGACGCAGCGACGCCGCGUGGGGGAAGAAGGCUUUCGGGUUGUAAACCCCUUUCAGGAAGGACGAAGCCACUCGGGUUAAUAGCCCAGAGGGUGACGGUACUUCCAGAAGAAGCCCCGGCUAACUACGUGCCAGCAGCCGCGGUAAUACGUAGGGGGCAAGCGUUGUCCGGAUUUAUUGGGCGUAAAGAGCGUGUAGGCGGCUGGGUAGGUCCGUUGUGAAAACUCGAGGCUCAACCUCGAGACGCCGAUGGAAACCAUCCAGCUAGAGUCCGGAAGAGGAGAGUGGAAUUCCUGGUGUAGCGGUGAAAUGCGCAGAUAUCAGGAAGAACACCCGUGGCUAAGGCGGCUCUCUAGUACGUGACUGACGCUGAGCGCGAAAGCGUGGGGAGCGAACAGGAUUAGAUACCCUAGUAGUCC
Molecule: ribosomal RNA, 800 nt
Filed under: uncultured bacterium
Lineage: Bacteria
Description: bacterial SSU rRNA
Rfam family: Bacterial small subunit ribosomal RNA
Source: RNAcentral